Molecule: ribosomal RNA, 1761 nt
Filed under: Triticum aestivum (bread wheat)
Lineage: Eukaryota; Viridiplantae; Streptophyta; Magnoliopsida; Poales; Poaceae
Description: partial small subunit ribosomal RNA
Source: RNAcentral
AUGCAGCACCGCUCGCCGGCGGCGGCCACGGCCUCCGGAGCUGCCUCCGCUGCGGCCGCCAUGGAGCCAGGCGUCGGCGGCGUCGAGCCUGCGGUGACGCUCGACCAGGUGCCGCGCUGGAGCGACCCCGACCAGCGCCUGUACACACCGUCCUCCUCGUCCGCCACCGCCGAAGCCGCGGACGGCGGAUCCGAGCCCGCAGCGUCCGCCUUCCUCUCCUUCUCCGACCCGCUCACCGGCGACGACAGCGGCGCCGCCGGUGGUGGCUGCGCGGGCGCCUCGCGCUUCCCCGUGGACCACGAGAUCAACUCCAGGAUCUACCUCUGGCGGGGACAGCCCUGGAACAUGGAGGUCGAUGCCGUCGUCAACUCCACCAACGAGAGCUUGGACGAGGCGCACAGUAGUCCUGGGCUGCACGCUGCAGCAGGUUCUGGGCUCGCGGAGGAAUGCGCCACCUUGCAGGGAGGGUGCCGAACUGGGAUGGCAAAGAUGACCAAUGCAUACGAUCUUCCUGCGAGGAAGGUCAUCCAUACAGUGGGACCCAAAUAUGCUGUCAAGUAUCACACAGCUGCGGAAAAUGCACUUAGUCAUUGCUACCGGUCAUGUUUGGAACUACUCAUUGAGAACGGCCUUGAAAGCAUCGCAAUGGGUUGCAUAUACACGGAAGCUAAAAACUAUCCUCGUGAACCAGCUGCCCAUGUGGCAAUAAGGACUGUUAGAUGUUUUCUGGAGAAACAGAAAGGCAAGAUAGCUGGUGUUAUUUUUUGUAUUACAUCAUCAUCUGAUACAGAGAUAUACAAAAGAUUGCUUCCGCUAUAUUUCCCUCGGGACAAGCAAGAGGAAGAGACUGCGGUAUCAAAACUUCCAGCUGAUGUCGGGGAUGAGAAUGGUGAAACUGUAAUAGAUGAAAGGAAAAUAAGAAUAAGACCAUUGCCUGCUGGUGCAGCAGAUAGAACAGUGGCUACAGCUGCUGCUCUUGAUCUUCCUCUUGAGUCUGGAUUGGCAUCAAGCAGGAGUACAUUCAAACUGGAUUCGUAUUUGGACCCUUCAUUUAUGUCAUUAAUUAAAGACCCGGAUCUGCGGCGCAAGGAGCAGUGGGAAAAAUCUUCUCAAGCUCAAAAGGGAUUUAAUUAUGCUAGGUUGCUUGGAUAUGGUGAUAUAGGUUUCCCUCCAUUGUCUGCUGCCGAGGAAUAUUCACUUCAUUCACGAUACCUUGCGAAAGCAAAUUCCCUUAAUCUUUCAGAGGUUGCUGAGAUGAAAAUAAUUUACCGUGGCGGAGUUGAUAGUGAAGGGCGCCCAGUUAUGGUUGUUGUUGGUGCGCACUUUCUUCUUCGCUGCCUGGAUCUUGAACGGUUUGUUCUACAUGUAGUGAAGGAGUUUGAACCUUUGAUUCAGAAGCCAUAUACUAUUGUCUAUCUCCACUCGGCAGCAUCAUUACAACCGCAACCAGAUUUAGGAUUCAUGAAAAGGAUACAACAAAUACUAGGCCGGAAACAUCAGCGAAACCUUCAUGGGAUUUAUAUACUCCAUCCAACAUUGGGGUUGAGAACAGCUAUUCUGGGGAUGCAGCUUUUGAUUGAUGGAGAGGUAUGGAAGAAAGUUGUGUAUGUUGACAGGCUGGUGCAAUUGUUCAGAUAUGUACCACGCGAACAAUUAACUAUCCCAGAUUUUGUAUUUCAGCAUGAUUUGGAGGUGAAUGGUGGUAGAGGCAUGAUUGUGGACCCAAGAACAAAACAUAUCUAUCAGAGACCAUCUGGCUGA